GGACUCCUCGGCCCUCUUCACGGAGUCACAACUCAAAACUACACGAGGGCGCGCGGAGCACCGGACACCGGAGCCGGCACAACCACCGCACAAGGCACAACGCCGCCAGCCCGCCAGCCCGCGAUAAACACGGUAACUCUACGCGCGCGCGAGACCCCGCCUGAAUGUGAGCUCCGUUCCGCGGAAUCCAUGCAGUUCAAUCGGGCUCCUCCUGGAGCCGCCGCCCGCCCGCCCUCCCCUCACCUGCUGCGGCAGCACGACUCCCCUCACCUUUGUCUAUGGGCUGUGGCAGAUCGAAUGAGAGGAACCCAGCAGGCAGCUUGAGAAGAAGAGGAGCGGAAUUGCGCGCGCCGGCGCCGUCUCAGCAGAAUACAGGUGCCACACUGCCACGGACCCUCACCGCGUCGAUCUCCAGCCACCGCGCGACCUCCCGAUCGCCGGCGCCGGCGCUGCCGCGGAAUGAACACCUGUGGGCGAGGGAAGCGCGGCGGGCUGGAGGUAGUGGCACGAGACCGAUGGACGGGAGCGCGGGAUGCAUCAGCAGCAAGGUCAGCGGUGGCCGGCGAGCGGCAACGGUGCGCCGCCGGAUGCCAUGUCCGCCGCCCCCGAUUGUUUCGCACAAGAGGCCCCGGUUCGUGAUCCAGCUAUUUUUUAUUUGGCUCCUGAGGUUUACAUAUACCACCCUGAUUUGGAUCGCGAUGAUUUGGAUCGCGAUUAUUAAUCAAGAUCCGAAUAUUUAUAUAUAGACCCAUUGUUUUACAAAUACACCCCUAAUUUGGAUCGUGAUCAAUAAUCGCGAUCCAAUUUAGGGGGUAUCAGUAAAAAGCGAUCCAAAUAUUUGCAUGUGCACCCCUGCUUUGGUUUGGAUCGGCGCUUCCGGCUCCGGUCUGUCCGCCGCCGCUCGCCGCCGGUCAGUAUCGUGAAGCUCCGACCCGAAUCAAGUCCAGGGAAAACGAUUCGCUCCACUAUUCCGUGGGAGGGGCGUCGAUUCAACAUCAUCCCCGGCGAGCAGAGCUAGCAGCACUGCGCUUGACUUCACCGGCGGUUGGCCGGUCGUGGGCUCGCGGCGGCUUCUUUUGUAGCGAGCCUCGCCGCGAGGGUGCACUCCGUAUCCACAGGCUGUAGGUCAGAGAUCGACGGUGAGGGUCCGUGGCACCUGUAUUUCGCUGAGACGGCGCCCGCGCGCGCAACUCCUGUUCCUCUUCUUCUCAGGCUGCCUGCUGGAGUGCUGGUUCCUCUCAUUCGAUCUGCCACAGACAAGGUAUGUGCGAUCCACGAGGCGGUGCGAGCUCGACGACCGCGUGCGUCGUGGGCUGCGACGGAGGCCUCGGCUGCUGCGGCGAGUGUGGUAAGGCAGUCUUUGUAAUUGCCCGUUCGGUUGUCUGACGAAAUUGCUCGUCUGGGACCGGGUUGUGCGAACCUUAGAGAAGAUUUAGUUUUGGCACGCGAUAAUUAGCAACCUUUCCCUCUCAUACAGAAAUCUACCACAUGAGUGAUGUUAUCAUAUACCGAGUAGAAUCUUGUAAUGGUAUUCAUCUGUCAACAGAAGUGGCUCCUGCUUUUUGCAAUUCAAACUUCUGGUCCAUAUUUCUCAUUGCUCCUGCUAAUCUGUAUUUCAGUUCCUCUUCUGCCCAUAGAAUUUAUUUCUGAAUGUAACUUUGCUCGUGGAGAUUUGCACGAUAAAAGUAUACAUGUCCGAAACUUGGAUCAACAGAAACAUCAGAAUAAUUGUGAUCUGGGCCGUUCCAGUCUGACAGUUUUAUUGGAUUAGUGCUGCUGAUAAAUAGUUGCAACAAACACUACUCAUUUACUAUGAGAGAAAGUUCUUCUGAUCAGAUAUGUAAUUUCCAAUACAUUCUAUAUACCUUUCAAUGCUGCUAUGAUCAAUUGUACAAUCGUGAACACUACAUACCUUAUAAAUCACUAAACGCUUUAUAAUCAUAUAAAAUUUGCAUUUUCUUCUCUUUGAUGUAAAUAUAUUUUUAUGGCAUCAACGUAUUUCCUUGUUUUAUUUUUAUUCACAUUUCUACCAACUAGAUUAGGAAGUAAAUCUGUAUAAGAACAAUAAGAGAAGUUCUGCAGAGUGAAACCUACGAUAGCAAUGCUAGCCAUGCCAAAUUAGAGAUUCAAAGCUUCUAUAUGUAAAGAGGAUAUCAGGUAUUGGUUGAGGUAGAUACUCUGGUAAUUCCCAUGGUUUACUAUGCCAUCGUUCUUUCUUGUGAUAUUUUUCUAGCAUUGUUCAUUCCAGUGGUUGUAUUUUGCUGCACAUCAUCUAUGGAAAUAUGGCCUUAGUGUUAUUUUCCUAGCCGAACUAAAUGUUCCUAUAAAUAAUAUAUUUGCUUUGUAGCUGGUAAAACUGCCUCUCCCAGUUAAGUGGAUUAAUGUUUCCAUCAUCAUCAUCUAAUUCUUGUUCAGCUCUACUUUUAAGCUUUUCUGAACCAAUCUUAAGAAAUGCUUAGAAUACUGUCCGACUGCUGAACAUGCUUUCAAGAAGGUGCAAGAAGCUGGGCUGUAGCAUUCUGCUGUCUCGAGGCCUGUCCUUAAUUUUUUUCUAGAAUCUACGGGGGUCCAGGAUAUCAUUGAUUUGAAGAAAGGCUAUCUGAGGCAUGCUGCUUGUGAUGGGACAGAAUUUUAGCUUGGAGUCCACUAUAUGCCCUUUUACGUGGCCACGUGCCAGAGUCUGAUCGGUGCUCCUUUUUCAAAAUCAAGAGGAAAAGAAGGGAUGACGUGCGUCGCUUGGUUUCUGCUACCUGUUCCCUCAAAGUCUCAAG
Molecule: long non-coding RNA, 2771 nt
Organism: Setaria italica (foxtail millet)
Lineage: Eukaryota; Viridiplantae; Streptophyta; Magnoliopsida; Poales; Poaceae
Exons: 3
Source: RefSeq, a predicted model, not a curated record